UCUCCCUCUUUCUAUCUCUAUCUGUCUCUCCCUCGGGGCCAUCUUGCAUAAUUUCUGGGUUCCUCCUUCCUAUUGUAUUUUGGAGUUCUUCUCAUACACAUUUUCUUUUUCAGUCCCAGCUCUACACUUCCAAGUCUACUUCUGCCAGGGUGCAGCAGAGGCGGUUUCAAAAGAAUUAUACACCACAACCAAGUGAUAUUUGUCCCAGGAAUACAAGGCUGAUUUAAUAUUAAAAAUCAAUCAAUGUGACCCAUCAUACCAACAUGUUAAAAGAGAAAAUCACAUGAUCUAAUAGAUGCAGAAAAAGCAUUUGACAAAAUUCAUCACCCAUUUAUGAUUUGAAGAAAAAGAAACCUUCAGUAAACUAGGAAUAGAGAGGGAACUUCCUCAACUGCGUGAAGAAUGCCUACAAAAUAUCAAUAGCUAACAUCUUAUGUAACAGUGGGAAACUCAAAGCUUUCUCACUAAGGAAGCAAGAAUCGAAGCAAGGAUGCCCUCUCUCUUCACUCCUUUUCAAUAUUGUACUGGAAGUUAAAGCUAAUCCAAUGAGAUGAUAAAAGGAAAUAAAAAGAAUACAAAUUAGAAAGGAAGAGAUAAAGCUACCUUUGUUUGCAGAUGAUGUGGUCUUCUAUGUAGAAAAUCAGAGUCAAUGAAAAACUUCUGGAACUAAUAAGCAGUUAUAGCAAGAUUCCAGGAUACAAGGUUAAUAUACAAAAGUCAAUUACUUUUCUGUAUGCCAAGUGGAAUUUGAAAUUGAAAACAUAAUACCAUUUCCAUUAACACCCCCCAAAAUGAAUUCCUUAAUUAUAAAUCUAACAAACUAUGUCCAAAUUUUUUAUGAGGAAAAGUUCAAAACUCUGAUGAAAGAAAUCAAAGAACUAAGUGAAUGGAGGCAUAUUAAAUGUUUAUGGAGAGAUAUUCGAUAUUGUCAAGAUGUCAGUUCUUCUGCAGCUUGAUCUAGUUUAAUGCAGCCCCAAUCAAAAUGUUAUCAAGUUAUUUUGUGGACAUUGGUAAACUAAUUCUGAAGUUUAUAUGCAGAGGCAAAAGAUCUAGAAUAGUGGGCACAGUAUUGAAGAAGAAAUACAAAGUCGGAGGACUGACAGACCUGAUACCAAGACUUACUAUCAAGCUACAAUAAGACUGUGGUAUUGAUGAAAGAAUUGCCAAAUAGAUCAAUGGAUCAGAAGAGAGAGUCCAGAUAAAUAUAGUGAAGUGAUCUUUGACAAAGGAGCAAAGGCCAUACAUUGAAGAAAAGAUAAUCUUCAAUAAAUGGUGCUAGAACAACUGAACAUCCACAUGCAAAACAAAUGAAUCUAUGCACAGACCUUCCACCUUUCACAAAACUAACUCAGAAUGGAUCAUAGAUCUAAAGGUAAAAUGCCAAACUAUAAAGCCUCUAGAAGACAACAUAGGAGAAAACCUAGAUGACCUUGGUUAUGGUGAUAACUUUUUAGAUAUACACUGAAGGCAUGAUCCACAAAAGAAACGUGUGUGUGUGUGUGUGUGUGUAUGUGUAGAGAGAGAGUCCUACUUUGUUGCCCAUGCUGGUCUCAAACUCCUGUGCUUAAGUGAUCCUCCUGCCUCCCAAAGUGGUGGGAAUACAGGUGUGAGCGACAGCAACUGGCUGACACAAAAGAAAUAAUUGGUAAGUUGAACUUUUUAAACAUUAAAUCAUAUGAAAUAUUCACACCAUGGACUAAUAUACAGUAACAAAUGGAAAACUACAACCAUAUGCAACAAUAUCCUACAAGGUUGUCAGAGGGACAUGGCAGAAUGCUCCCGUGGAAUGGGCCCAGGUCUGGAGGAAGGAAGGCCUUGAGGCCUGAUGAGCAAAGUGUGAUGAGAGGGAGCUCUGGGACAAAGUACAUAAAGCAUGGGAUUUACUUCAGUGCCGGCAGGCGUGGGUUCAAAUCCUGACUCUGCCACUUACCACUAACCUCUCUAAACUCCAUUUACUCAUCUCUAAAGAGGAUCAUUAUGGUGAUUGAGUGAAAUCAAAUAUGUUCAGAUGUAAAAAGUGCCUGGCACUCAGUACCUACUCAAUACAUGGAGUGAAUUUUAUUGUGUGGAGGGAACAAGGGCUUGAUAUACAAAUUCCAAAAGGCGAAGAAAUCCUUACCUAUUAUGGACAAGUAGCUGACCCCUCCUCUGAGUUCUUGCGGUGUCCUAGGCGUAGGUCUCUAAUGGACUAACAAAGGGUGUGGAAUCUAAAUAAUAGGUUUGUGCAUCUGUUGCUCCCACGGCCUACUGGACAGUGCAAUAGGGCCUGCACCUGGCACAUGGUAGCAAUUCAGCAUGUGGGCUGGAAGAAUGAACCUGUAUAGAAAGCAUUGGAGCUCCCUCUGGAGGCCGAAGAAAGAACUAUGACUGAACCAACCAUUAUUUUAGGGGGGCCUCACAAGCUUACUCAAGUCCUGUUGCCUGGCUGACUGUGUAGCCUCUUCUUUUGGUGGCUGGAAUUGUCACUGGAGUUAUAGAUUUAUACCAAACCCCGAUCUGUUUAUGCAGAGUUCAGUCCUGGACUGCACCGCCUGCCUCUUGCCAUCUGCCUGGUGGGAUCUGAGGGGGACCUGCUUCUCUGAAUCACCUCCUGAUAUGCCUCCCCACCCCAACUGCCCCCUGCCCAACUGGCCCCAGGUUAUAGCACCCUUGUAUACCCUUGAAAAAUCUGCUCCCUCCUCUCCUGCAACUAAUAACACCCUCCUUUAUCCCACCCACCCACAGGGACACAUUUCUAUCACAGAACUCUAGAUGCUUCAUUUUUUGUUUGAGAUGGAGUCUCACUGAGUUGCCCAGGCUGGAGUGCAGUGGUGCGAUCUUGGCUCACUGCAACCUCUGCCUCCUGGGUUCAAGUGAUUCUCCCACCUCAACCUCCCGAGUAACUGGGAUUAUACAGGUAUGCACCAUCACGCCUGGCUACUUUUUUGGUAGAGGCAGGGUUUCACCAUGUUGGCAACGCUGAUCUCGAACUCCUGACCUCAAGUGAUCCACCCACCUUGGCCUCCCAAAGUGCUGGGAUUACAGGCAUGAGCCAGUGCACCCAGAUAAAUGGCUUGUUAUAGUUAUUUGUUAGCACAACUGCCUGCCUCCUCCUGGAUAAGGUCCUUGAAGACAGAGGCUGUAGCUUCCCUUUCUCAGAUAAAUCUUCAAUAAACACGCAGGAGUACA
Molecule: long non-coding RNA, 3168 nt
Organism: Callithrix jacchus (white-tufted-ear marmoset)
Lineage: Eukaryota; Metazoa; Chordata; Mammalia; Primates; Cebidae
Source: RefSeq, a predicted model, not a curated record